This 800-nucleotide ribosomal RNA is filed under the name uncultured bacterium. RNAcentral's name for it is "bacterial SSU rRNA". It matches the Rfam family "Bacterial small subunit ribosomal RNA", at positions 8 to 795 of the family's 1533-position model. The record is from RNAcentral.
AGAGUUUGAUCCUGGCUCAGAACGAACGCUGGCGGCAUGCUUCAUACAUGCAAGUCGCGCGAUUAAACCCCGCAAGGGGAUAUAAAGCGGCGAACGGGUGAGUAGAAGGUGGAUAAUCUGCCUUUCGGUGGGGGAUAACGGCUGGAAACGGCCGCUAAUACCGCAUGCGAUUGCCGGGCCUGCGGGCCUGGCAAGGAAAGGGGCUUCACGGCCUCGCCGAGAGAUGAGUCCGCCCCCCAUUAGCUAGUUGGCGGGAUAAUAGCCCACCAAGGCGACGAUGGGUAGCCGAGCUGAGAGGUCGAUCGGCCACACUGGAACUGAGAUACGGUCCAGACUCCUACGGGAGGCAGCAGUGGGGAAUCUUGCGCAAUGGGCGAAAGCCUGACGCAGCAACGCCGCGUGAGCGAAGAAGGCCUUCGGGUUGUAAAGCUCUGUCAGGGGGAAAGAAGGCACCUGGGUUAAUAGCCCAAGGGCUGACGGUACCUCCAAAGGAAGCCACGGCUAACUACGUGCCAGCAGCCGCGGUAAUACGUAGGUGGCGAGCGUUGUCCGGAAUUAUUGGGCGUAAAGAGCGCGUAGGUGGUUUGUCAGGUCUGAUGUGAAAACCUGGGGCUCAACCCCGGGCCUGCAUCGGAAACCGGCUUGCUAGAGUCUGGGAGAGGAGAGUGGAAUUCCUGGUGUAGCGGUGAAAUGCGUAGAUAUCAGGAGGAACACCGGUAGCGAAGGCGGCUCUCUGGAACAGUACUGACGCUGAGGCGCGAAAGCUAGGGGAGCAAACAGGAUUAGAUACCCUGGUAGUC